GGUCUGGUGGCGUAGCGGUAAUGCACUCUGUUUGCGUAGCUGGUGGGAAAUUGAAUAAUGGAGGGUCCAGAGUUUGAAUCUCCACCAGGCCU
Molecule: non-coding RNA, 92 nt
Organism: Mycena latifolia
Lineage: Eukaryota; Fungi; Basidiomycota; Agaricomycetes; Agaricales; Mycenaceae
Source: the annotation of a GenBank genome assembly